AUUGAACGCUGGCGGCAGGCCUAACACAUGCAAGUCGAGCGGAUGAAGGGAGCUUGCUCCUGGAUUCAGCGGCGGACGGGUGAGUAAUGCCUAGGAAUCUGCCUGGUAGUGGGGAUAACGUCCGGAAACGGGCGCUAAUACCGCAUACGUCCUGAGGGAGAAAGUGGGGGAUCUUCGGACCUCACGCUAUCAGAUGAGCCUAGGUCGGAUUAGCUAGUUGGUGGGGUAAAGGCCUACCAAGGCGACGAUCCGUAACUGGACUGAGAGGAUGAUCAGUCACACUGGAACUGAGACACGGUCCAGACUCCUACGGGAGGCAGCAGUGGGGAAUAUUGGACAAUGGGCGAAAGCCUGAUCCAGCCAUGCCGCGUGUGUGAAGAAGGUCUUCGGAUUGUAAAGCACUUUAAGUUGGGAGGAAGGGCAGUAAGUUAAUACCUUGCUGUUUUGACGUUACCAACAGAAUAAGCACCGGCUAGCUUCGUG
Molecule: ribosomal RNA, 483 nt
Filed under: uncultured bacterium
Lineage: Bacteria
Description: partial 16S ribosomal RNA
Rfam family: Bacterial small subunit ribosomal RNA
Source: RNAcentral